AGCGAACGCUGGCGGCGUGCUUAACACAUGCAAGUCGAGUGCGCGUUUCCGUAGCAAUACGGAAAUGGCGCACGGCGCACGGGUGCGUAACACGUGGGUAAUCUGCCCUCUGAUGGGGAAUAACUCGCCGAAAGGCGAGCUAAUUCCGCAUAACAUUCCUUGGACUCCGGUCCGAGGAUUCAAAGGCGUAAGUCGUCGGAGGAGGAGCCCGCGCACGAUUAGCUAGUUGGUAGGGUAACGGCCUACCAAGGCUAUGAUCGUUAGCUGGUCUGAGAGGAUGGCCAGCCACACUGGAACUGAGACACGGUCCAGACUCMUACGGGAGGCAGCAGUGGGGAAUCUUGCACAAUGGGSGAAAGCCUGAYGCAGCGACGCCGCGUGGGGGAUGAAGCUUCUCGGAGUGUAAACCCCUU
This 413-nucleotide ribosomal RNA is filed under the name bacterium Ellin7533. RNAcentral describes it as "bacterial SSU rRNA". It matches the Rfam family "Bacterial small subunit ribosomal RNA", at positions 29 to 435 of the family's 1533-position model. The record is from RNAcentral.